Molecule: ribosomal RNA, 253 nt
Filed under: uncultured bacterium
Lineage: Bacteria
Description: partial 16S ribosomal RNA
Rfam family: Archaeal small subunit ribosomal RNA
Source: RNAcentral
UACCAGCACCCCGAGUGGUCGGUACGAUUAUUGGGCCUAAAGCAUCCGUAGCCGGUCCUACAAGUCUUCCGUUAAAUCCACCUGCUUAACAGAUGGGCUGCGGAAGAUACUAUAGGGCUAGGAGGCGGGAGAGGCAAGCGGUACUCAGUGGGUAGGGGUAAAAUCCUCUGAUCCAUUGAAGACCACCAGUGGCGAAGGCGGCUUGCCAGAACGCGCUCGACGGUGAGGGAUGAAAGCUGGGGGAGCAAACCGG